GGACAGCUGAGGAGUCCCACAAUAGGACUAAACGAUCGUCUAAUGC
This is a non-coding RNA of Schistosoma mattheei, 46 nucleotides long. The record is from Rfam. Lineage: Eukaryota; Metazoa; Platyhelminthes; Trematoda; Strigeidida; Schistosomatidae.